CAAUAGCGUAUAUUAACGUUGUUGCAGUUAAAAAGCUCGUAGUUGGAUUUCUGGAGGGAGCGUCGGCCCGUAUUUACGAGUGCGUGACGUCUCUGUCCAUCCUUGCGGGAAGGCACGGCAUUGAUUUGUUGUGUCGGAUCGCAUCAUUUACUGUGAAAAAAUUAGAGUGUUCAAAGCAGGCUUUCGCUUGAAUACAUUAGCAUGGAAUAAUAAGAUAGGACUUUGGAGCUAUUUUGUUGGUUGAGCCUAAAGUAAUGAUUAAUAGGGAUAGUUGGGGGCACCUGUAUUGCGUUGUCAGAGGUGAAAUUCUUGGAUUUACGCAAGACAAACAGCUGCGAAAGCGUCUGCCAAGGAUGUUUUCAUUAA
Molecule: ribosomal RNA, 366 nt
Filed under: uncultured eukaryote
Lineage: Eukaryota
Description: partial 18S ribosomal RNA
Rfam family: Eukaryotic small subunit ribosomal RNA
Source: RNAcentral